This 1096-nucleotide long non-coding RNA is filed under the name Piliocolobus tephrosceles (Ugandan red Colobus). Its description in RNAcentral is "lncRNA (ENSPTEG00000031139.1)". The record is from RNAcentral. Lineage: Eukaryota; Metazoa; Chordata; Mammalia; Primates; Cercopithecidae.
CCACGCUUUCCACUGGAAUCGGAACUUGCUUUGAAUACAGAUAGAAGAUAAUGAUGUUCUCAGAAACAUGAUUGAUCACAGAACCCUAUCAUAUCCUUUCUUACGUUACUUCCUCGUACCAACCAACCACUUUUGCUGAAGAUGAUGCUUUUCAGGCAGAAAGCAGAGGAAGCUGCGUGACUCAGACAGUAUCACCAGGGAUGUUAAGCAGGCUGGCCCAUCGCAAGAGCCAAGGAGUGUAUCUCAUUCCCCACGUGCAGAUGAAGAAAAAGCAACAAAGAGCAUCUAGUCCAUUGAAUGCCUGGUAAAAAGGCAUCGUCUUCCUCAUCAACAUGGAUGGAGCAUUCCUGUCAUGCCCACAGAAAUGAAAGGCAAAUAGCCUGACUCUGAAUCAAUGCUUAGUUCUUCCCUGGCUCUGUGACUGCAUCGACGUAUGGUCUUCCAUGGAGAAGUGUGCAUCCCUAUAGAUGCCCCACCCAUUUCAUACAUCCGUUAGGAAUGUGACAUGUGCAGAGGUAAGCGAGAGUGCUUCUUAUGCUCUAAACCUGUGAACCACCACAUGGAUGUGUUACUGUGUGGUGUAAAGAAUAACAAAAAAUAUUAGAUAUACUGUUUUUAACAACUGAAGGUGCUACUAUUAGGUAUCUUACUAAUUGUAUUCAUAGUAAGAAUAAUGAGCAACUUGAUCUUUCUACUUUGAGAAGAAUGCUUAAUUAUAGAUAAGAAUAGGUAGAAGUGACCUAACUUCAAAAAUAUUUCCAAAAUCGGCAAUUCAUGGUCAAGGUGAACUUAGCACCUAAGUUAUGUGACCUAUUAGUAAUAACUUUCUAGGUUGUGCUAUACUAAAAUUUAUGUUUUUCUCUGAUAGUUAUGUAUUAUUCUAUAACAAAACACUUUUAUUUUUCUGUUUGUAAAAGUAAUACAUAUUCAGAUUCAGAUGAUACAAAAAUGUCAUAAAUUCGCAAGAGAAAAUCAUUCAUAAAUGUCUUCUCUUUAGCUACUUCAAAAAAUAUUUUAAAAUAAGUAAAACUUCUAAGUUAAUAUAAAGAAAUUUUAUGAACAAACAUUACCUAUGGGGAUUUUAAUCUCUCAUACG